CUUUGCAGAAGAGGGGGGAAAAAUCAAAGAACGGAGGGCUUGCGGGAGUGGCAGGGGAGAGAAAAAAAACACUGACGGAGAGGUGAGGAGCGCUGCAAUGGAGGACGGCUACUUCCUGUUCCUGCUGGAGUGACCCGCAGGUCUGAGGAGGAGCGAGGAGAGACAGAGCGAGAGAGAGGGGGAGAGAGAGUGACAGCAGCAGCAGCCAUGGCCAGCCGGUCACUGGGACAGACAGCGCUGCACAGCCAGCUGAUGGAGAGUUAACCGGUUGGAAGGGAUCCAGUGGGGCUCAGACAGGCUUGACAAGCAUAUUGGCUACAUGAUCCCAAACAGGACUAAUUAACACGGGUGUUACGAGAUCAUGACGAGUCAUCACUGGAGUCAUUGUGAACCUGCUGCUGCUAAAGACCUUUAGUCUACAGGUUAUAUAUCUGUCCUACAGAAACAAAAGAGGGGGCGAGCUGUUCAGGUCCUUUAACUGAACACAAUUUCAUUAUUUAAAUGACCAAUAAUAACUAACACCAGGGGGUUAGACACAUAGCAAGCUCACCUGUAAAUAGUAUGUAGACAUGUCAUUUAAAUAGCUAGUUACAUUUUGAUACAUAUUUAUGAGAUUUGUGAGAUAAAAUUGUUUAAAUAAUCUGGGAACUUUCUAAUCUGCUUUGUAUCUCAGCAUUUGUUUCCAUAUUUAAUGUCAGCUGAUAUUUUACUUCUUUUUCCUUUAUGCUGCUAUUCUAGGAUAGACAGUAGUGUAUCCUGCAACUAUUAGGGCCCUAUGAUUGCCAUGCCGAGGAAAAUACG
Molecule: long non-coding RNA, 801 nt
Filed under: Astyanax mexicanus (Mexican tetra)
Lineage: Eukaryota; Metazoa; Chordata; Actinopteri; Characiformes; Acestrorhamphidae
Description: lncRNA (ENSAMXG00005025122.1)
Source: RNAcentral